This 875-nucleotide ribosomal RNA is filed under the name Clostridium botulinum D/C. Its description in RNAcentral is "partial 23S ribosomal RNA". It matches the Rfam family "Bacterial large subunit ribosomal RNA", at positions 1999 to 2871 of the family's 2925-position model. The record is from RNAcentral. Lineage: Bacteria; Bacillati; Bacillota; Clostridia; Eubacteriales; Clostridiaceae.
GCGUAAUGAUUUGAGCACUGUCUCGGCAAUAAAUCCGGUGAAAUUGUAGUGCAAGUGAAGAUGCUUGCUACCCGCGGUUGGACGGAAAGACCCCGUAGAGCUUUACUGUAGCUUAGCAUUGAAUUUCGGUAUUGUCUGUACAGGAUAGGUGGGAGACUUAGAAGCGAGGGCGUCAGCUUUCGUGGAGUCGUCCUUGGGAUACCACCCUGACAGUACUGGAAUUCUAACUGGAGGCCAUGAAUCUGGUCACAGGACAUUGCUAGGUGGGCAGUUUGACUGGGGCGGUCGCCUCCUAAAAGGUAACGGAGGCGCCCAAAGGUUCCCUCAGCGCGGUCGGAAAUCGCGCGUAGAGUGCAAAGGCAGAAGGGAGCCUGACUGCGACACAUACAGGUGGAGCAGGGACGAAAGUCGGGCUUAGUGAUCCGGUGGUUCUGUAUGGAAGGGCCAUCGCUCAACGGAUAAAAGCUACCUCGGGGAUAACAGGCUGAUCUCCCCCAAGAGUCCACAUCGACGGGGAGGUUUGGCACCUCGAUGUCGGCUCGUCGCAUCCUGGGGCUGUAGUCGGUCCCAAGGGUUGGGCUGUUCGCCCAUUAAAGCGGCACGCGAGCUGGGGUCAGAACGUCGUGAGACAGUUCGGUCCCUAUCCGCCGUGGGCGUAGGAAAUUUGAGAGGAGCUGUCCUUAGUACGAGAGGACCGGGAUGGACCAACCUCUGGUGCACCAGUUGUUCCGCCAGGAGCACAGCUGGGUAGCUAUGUUGGGAAGGGAUAAACGCUGAAAGCAUCUAAGCGUGAAGCCCACCUCAAGAUUAGAUUUCCCAUAGCGUAAGCUAGUAAGACCCCUGAAAGACUAUCAGGUUGAUAGGUUGGAGGUGUA